GACGAACGCUGGCGGCGUGCCUAACACAUGCAAGUUGAGCGAGGAGAGUUCCUUCGGGAACAAACCUAGCGGCGGACGGGUGAGUAACACGUGGGCAACCUGCCUUAUAGUGGGGAAUAGCCUCUCGAAAGGGAGAUUAAUACCGCAUAAUAUUACACUUUCGCAUGAGAGAGUAAUUAAAGGAGCAAUUCGCUAUAAGAUGGGCCCGCGGCGCAUUAGCUAGUUGGUGAGGUAACGGCUCACCAAGGCGACGAUGCGUAGCCGACCUGAGAGGGUGAUCGGCCACAGUUGGGACUGAGACACGGCCCAGACUCCUACGGGUGGCUG
Molecule: ribosomal RNA, 327 nt
Filed under: uncultured Bacillota bacterium
Lineage: Bacteria; Bacillati; Bacillota
Description: bacterial SSU rRNA
Rfam family: Bacterial small subunit ribosomal RNA
Source: RNAcentral